Oncorhynchus gorbuscha (pink salmon) is the source of this 624-nucleotide long non-coding RNA. RefSeq lists it as uncharacterized. The transcript has 3 exons. Lineage: Eukaryota; Metazoa; Chordata; Actinopteri; Salmoniformes; Salmonidae. The record is from RefSeq and is a predicted model, not a curated record.
UCAGAACAUGAGGACAUAUGAAAGCUGGUGGUUCCUUUUAACAUAAGUCUUCAAUAUUCCCAGUUUGACAUAUUUUACUACACUGACUCCACAAUUGAACUUCAUCUGAUGCUACGUGAGAUCAGGUUCCACUGUUCCUCUACGACCCGCGCCUACCCAGAGAGACCUGCAGCCUGUCGCCGCUUAACCCAGCUAUUCUCCUCUGCUGCUAAGAAGGGGGCUCUUUUGUAAUUAUCAGAAGGACUUUUUGUUUCAUUUGUCGCCCUCUCUGCGGGUUGUCUAUUUUUCCAUUAUCUACAUCUGAAGAGGAUCUAUGUCUUCCCUGUGUUAACAUUAAAGGACUCUGUUUUUGAAUACCGCUUUUGGGUCCUCACUCAAGUGCAUAACAAUUUUAUUAGGAAAAAUUUUGAUACACAAGAAUAAUCCCCUUCAUUUUUAAAUCUGAUUUGGAAAACUAUUUAGAGUCGUUAAAACGUAUACAAAACAAAAUGUUAAAAUGUAUUCGCUACAUGUCUGUAUUUGAAUUGAUAUAAUGUGGAUCAUUUUUAUUUUUUUCUAAUUUCUUUAUGGAAUCCCUCUGGCUGUUAUGUUUGGCAUGUUACUGUUAAUAAAAUAAAAACAUUG